Molecule: ribosomal RNA, 494 nt
Filed under: uncultured bacterium
Lineage: Bacteria
Description: partial 16S ribosomal RNA
Rfam family: Bacterial small subunit ribosomal RNA
Source: RNAcentral
GACGAACGCUGGCGGCGUGCUUAACACAUGCAAGUCGAACGGAAAGGCCUGCUUUCCCUUGUGGAUUGCGGGUACUCGCGUGGCGAACGGGUGAGUAACACGUGAGUGAUCUGCCCCCAACUUGGGUAUAAGCCUGGGAAACUGGGUCUAAUUCCCGAUAGGACUGCAGGGUGGUGCCUGUGGUGGAAAACGAUUUUCUAGUGGUCGGGGAUGAGCUCGCGGCCUAUCAGCUUGUUGGUGGGGUAAUGGCCUACCAAGGCGGCGACGGGUAGCCGGCCGGGGAGGGUGGGCGGCCACGUUGGGGCUGAGAUACGGCCCAGACGCCUACGGGAGGCAGCAGUGGGGAAUAAUGCACAAGGGGCGGAAGCCUGAGGCAGCGACGCCGCGUGGGGGAUGACGGCCUUCGGGUGGUAAACUCCUUGCGACCGCGAGGAAGCCACCUGGUUGGAAGGGUGGUGACGGUAGUGGUAGAAGAAGCACCGGCUAACUACGUG